CCCACUUUAUUAGAGAUUGAGUUUGAAACCUUCAUUUACAUCUGGUAAUUUAGUACUUAUUCUACUUGUUCUUGCUGGUUCUUCGAUUGCUUGCAGGACGAGUGCCCUAGUGGCCGGGUGUUGCGCUCCACAAGAUCGUGACAGCCAUUGGAGGCGGUGUAUCGGUUGCUAAGGCGCAGUCUUGAGGGCUGUAGUCGGGCCGUGAACGUCAUCUCCAUUCACUAAUCGAGUUAUCCAGCGCCUCUCAUCGAAAGAUCAGGCGGAAACCCUAGUGGGUUCACAUCAGUUGGUAUCAGAGCAAGGUUCUUCGGUGAGAGACUUCUAAUCCUUUGCUGUUUUUAAUUAAUUUCCUAUAGUCCAGAAAAGCAAAAAAAAUAUAGUAGAUUAGUUUUUCCAUAAUCCUAUUAAACCUUUGUGCCUUGGCUAGUACCGUUUUAGUUAGGGCUUGUUGAAUUUGCGUUGCUUCGGUUUGUGUCGAGUUGCUGGUCUUAGUGUCUAGUCCUUUAGAGUUUCGAGUUCUUGUCACCAUCUAUACACAGCCGAGUAUUACCAUAUCUUCUCUCUGUCGAAUCUGUUGCGAAGUCUGAAUUGAACUGUGGUCUUGGUCCGGAUCGAGUAGAGUUCCAAUCUGAGUUCAAAAAGAAAGAUAACUCUACUUGUUCGGCCUUACUCUAGAGAGAAAGAGAGAGAGUGUGGAGCGAAAAAAGUGUGUGGAGCGAAUUGCUCUUUUGUAUUCUUUUGUUCAUAUAAUCAGUUUUUGAGGUUGCCCAAAAAAAAGAAAAAAAAGAAAAAAAAAGAAAAGAGAAAAGAUUCAAAAAAAGGGGCUGUUUUUCAUAUUGAUUUUAGGUUUGUCCCACCUUGUUUUCGGGGGUGUGCUGUGGUUUUCCUUUGUGUCCAGGCUCACGUCUCUAGCACGGUCUAGCCUAGGACCAGCACAGUACCAUCGUCGAACGCUUAUUCAGCUCGCUUUUAUAACUAACGUGGUGCUAGUUCGUUCCUUGUUUCAGCCCACCUAUAGCUCCACAUACUCUACAGCUUGACAGGUCUUGUGCUGCAGCACCGAUACACUUCGUCCAUUGAUGUACACUUGUUGGCAGACGACCCCUCCUGUCAAGCAAGGUAAGAAUUGGUAAGAACUUGUGUUACAGGUUGAGUGUGAGCGACUUGCUGUAGCUACAUCCUAGUAGUUGUAGGGCUUUUAUUUCUUCACUUGCCUUUUUGUUGUCUUUGUCUUUGAACCAUGCCAGG
RNAcentral lists this long non-coding RNA (1248 nucleotides) under Sorghum bicolor (sorghum). RNAcentral describes it as "long non-coding RNA (SBIC_LNC002880)". Lineage: Eukaryota; Viridiplantae; Streptophyta; Magnoliopsida; Poales; Poaceae. The record is from RNAcentral.